This 784-nucleotide ribosomal RNA is filed under the name uncultured Neocallimastigales. Its description in RNAcentral is "partial large subunit ribosomal RNA". It matches the Rfam family "Eukaryotic large subunit ribosomal RNA", at positions 24 to 635 of the family's 3401-position model. Lineage: Eukaryota; Fungi; Neocallimastigomycota; Neocallimastigomycetes; Neocallimastigales. The record is from RNAcentral.
AUCUCUGUAGAGUCUGCAUAUCAAUAAGCGGAGGAAAAGAAACUAACUAGGAUUCCCUCAGUAACGGCGAGUGAAGCGGGAAGAGCUCAAAUUUGAAAUCUUCAAGGUUCUACCUUGACGAAUUGUUAGUUUAAAGAAGUGUUUUCUGUUGAAGUUUUGGUAAAAGUUCUUUGGAAUAGGACAUCAUAGAGGGUGAGAAUCCCGUAUUUGACCAGUUAUUUUCCAGCUGUGUGAUACACUUUCAAAGAGUCGGAUUGUUUGGGAAUGCAGUCCAAAAUGGGUGGUAAAUUUCAUCUAAAGCUAAAUACUGGCGAGAGACCGAUAGCGAACAAGUACCGUGAGGGAAAGAUGAAAGGAACUUUGAAAAGAGAGUUAAACAGUACGUGAAAUUGUCAAAAGGGAAGCGUUUGACACCAGUGUUGUUUUCUCGAAAAUCAAUUAAAAAAUGGCAUGAUUUUGUGUUGUAUUGACCUUUAAUCAAGCUUUCUUCACUCUUUUCAUUGUCUUUUUUAAUGCACUUUUCGUUUAACAAGUCAACAUCAGUUUCUUUUGUUGUAAAAGGGUCAUUGGAAGGUGGCUUUCUUUUCGGAGAAAGUGUUUAUAGCCUUUGCCUCUGCAAUCGGAGAGACUUGAGGUCUGCAGCGUAGAUCCUUCUGGAUUAGAUACAUUUGUGCUAAGUUAUAACCGUUUCAUAGACAACUUGUUGACUAUGAUUCAGAUCAUGUAGCUUACUCGCUUAUGCUAUUUUACCUACGCUUAGGAUGUUGAAGAUGUAGCACAUCAU